CAGUCGCCGCGGUAAUACGAAGGGUGCAAGCGUUACUCGGAAUUACUGGGCGUAAAGCGUGCGUAGGUGGUGGUUUAAGUCCGUUGUGAAAGCCCUGGGCUCAACCUGGGAAUUGCAGUGGAUACUGGGUCGCUAGAGUGUGGUAGAGGAUAGUGGAAUUUCCGGUGUAGCAGUGAAAUGCGUAGAGAUCGGAAGGAACAUCUGUGGCGAAGGCGACUAUCUGGGCCAACACUGACACUGAGGCACGAAAGCGUGGGGAGCAAACAGGAUUAGAUACCCGCGUAGUCCCUGUCUCUUAUAC
RNAcentral lists this ribosomal RNA (301 nucleotides) under uncultured bacterium. RNAcentral describes it as "partial 16S ribosomal RNA". It matches the Rfam family "Bacterial small subunit ribosomal RNA", at positions 509 to 807 of the family's 1533-position model. The record is from RNAcentral.